This 1463-nucleotide ribosomal RNA is filed under the name uncultured Klebsiella sp. RNAcentral describes it as "bacterial SSU rRNA". It matches the Rfam family "Bacterial small subunit ribosomal RNA". The record is from RNAcentral. Lineage: Bacteria; Pseudomonadati; Pseudomonadota; Gammaproteobacteria; Enterobacterales; Enterobacteriaceae.
AUUGAACGCUGGCGGCAGGCCUAACACAUGCAAGUCGAGCGGUAGCACAGAGAGCUUGCUCUCGGGUGACGAGCGGCGGACGGGUGAGUAAUGUCUGGGAAACUGCCUGAUGGAGGGGGAUAACUACUGGAAACGGUAGCUAAUACCGCAUAACGUCGCAAGACCAAAGUGGGGGACCUUCGGGCCUCAUGCCAUCAGAUGUGCCCAGAUGGGAUUAGCUAGUAGGUGGGGUAACGGCUCACCUAGGCGACGAUCCCUAGCUGGUCUGAGAGGAUGACCAGCCACACUGGAACUGAGACACGGUCCAGACUCCUACGGGAGGCAGCAGUGGGGAAUAUUGCACAAUGGGCGCAAGCCUGAUGCAGCCAUGCCGCGUGUGUGAAGAAGGCCUUCGGGUUGUAAAGCACUUUCAGCGGGGAGGAAGGCGGUGAGGUUAAUAACCUCAUCGAUUGACGUUACCCGCAGAAGAAGCACCGGCUAACUCCGUGCCAGCAGCCGCGGUAAUACAGAGGGUGCAAGCGUUAAUCGGAAUUACUGGGCGUAAAGCGCACGCAGGCGGUCUGUCAAGUCGGAUGUGAAAUCCCCGGGCUCAACCUGGGAACUGCAUUCGAAACUGGCAGGCUAGAGUCUUGUAGAGGGGGGUAGAAUUCCAGGUGUAGCGGUGAAAUGCGUAGAGAUCUGGAGGAAUACCGGUGGCGAAGGCGGCCCCCUGGACAAAGACUGACGCUCAGGUGCGAAAGCGUGGGGAGCAAACAGGAUUAGAUACCCUGGUAGUCCACGCCGUAAACGAUGUCGAUUUGGAGGUUGUGCCCUUGAGGCGUGGCUUCCGGAGCUAACGCGUUAAAUCGACCGCCUGGGGAGUACGGCCGCAAGGUUAAAACUCAAAUGAAUUGACGGGGGCCCGCACAAGCGGUGGAGCAUGUGGUUUAAUUCGAUGCAACGCGAAGAACCUUACCUGGUCUUGACAUCCACAGAACUUUCCAGAGAUGGAUUGGUGCCUUCGGGAACUGUGAGACAGGUGCUGCAUGGCUGUCGUCAGCUCGUGUUGUGAAAUGUUGGGUUAAGUCCCGCAACGAGCGCAACCCUUAUCCUUUGUUGCCAGCGGUCCGGCCGGGAACUCAAAGGAGACUGCCAGUGAUAAACUGGAGGAAGGUGGGGAUGACGUCAAGUCAUCAUGGCCCUUACGACCAGGGCUACACACGUGCUACAAUGGCAUAUACAAAGAGAAGCGACCUCGCGAGAGCAAGCGGACCUCAUAAAGUAUGUCGUAGUCCGGAUUGGAGUCUGCAACUCGACUCCAUGAAGUCGGAAUCGCUAGUAAUCGUAGAUCAGAAUGCUACGGUGAAUACGUUCCCGGGCCUUGUACACACCGCCCGUCACACCAUGGGAGUGGGUUGCAAAAGAAGUAGGUAGCUUAACCUUCGGGAGGGCGCUUACCACUUUGUGAUUCAUGACUGGGGUGA